CUUCUUCCCAUUUUCAUCACUUGGCCGAAACUCCAUAACCAUUUUCUUCCCAACAUUUUUUCAAGCUUCAAGCUUGAAUUCCUCUCUAUCCAUCCACUAAAAUUCCUAAGUGCCUUCAUUAAAAACUCACCCCACACCUUGAGAAAGAUAGUGGCUGCCAAGAAUUUAAGGAAUUUUGAAGUUUUCACAAGACCAAGAUUGGUCAACAUAAGGUAAAAAGAGCAUAGAGCAGUGAAUAAGUUUCUUUGAAGACAUAUUCAGAUCAGCUCCAGGAAUAGAAAAUCUUGUGAAAAGAUAUGGAAGAGAAGAAUGAGACAAUAGAACAGUCUGUGAUGGCAGAAGAACAAGUUGAGGUCCUAGCUCCAUAAAAUUUCGAAGGU
This is a long non-coding RNA of Hevea brasiliensis (rubber tree), 380 nucleotides long. RefSeq lists it as uncharacterized. The transcript is spliced from 3 exons. NCBI's taxonomy places the organism in Eukaryota, Viridiplantae, Streptophyta, Magnoliopsida, Malpighiales, Euphorbiaceae. The record is from RefSeq and is a predicted model, not a curated record.